Molecule: ribosomal RNA, 119 nt
Filed under: Pteropus alecto (black flying fox)
Lineage: Eukaryota; Metazoa; Chordata; Mammalia; Chiroptera; Pteropodidae
Source: RNAcentral
GUCUACGGCCAUGCCACCCUGAACACUCCCAGUCUCAUCUGAUCUCGAAAGUUAAGCAGGGCCGGGCCUAGUUAGUACUUGGAUGGGAGACCACUUAGGAAGACCAGGUGCUGUAGGCG